This 523-nucleotide ribosomal RNA is filed under the name uncultured archaeon. Its description in RNAcentral is "bacterial SSU rRNA". It matches the Rfam family "Archaeal small subunit ribosomal RNA", at positions 311 to 834 of the family's 1478-position model. The record is from RNAcentral.
GCCGCCCCCGCCCGACGGGGNGCAGCAGGCGCGAAACCUCCGCAAUGCACGGAAGUGCGACGGGGGGACCCCAAGUGCCACUCUUAACGGGGUGGCUUUUCUUGAGUGUAAAAAGCUUUUGGAAUAAGGGCUGGGCAAGACCGGUGCCAGCCGCCGCGGUAACACCGGCAGCUCAAGUGGUAGCCAUUUUUAUUGGGCCUAAAGCGUUCGUAGCCGGUUUGAUAAGUCUCUGGUGAAAUCCUAUGGCUUAACUGUGGGAAUUGCUGGAGAUACUAUUAGACUUGAGGUCGGGAGAGGUUAGCGGUACUCCCAGGGUAGGGGUGAAAUCCUGUAAUCCUGGGAGGACCACCUGUGGCGAAGGCGGCUAACUGGAACGAACCUGACGGUGAGGGACGAAAGCCAGGGGCGCGAACCGGAUUAGAUACCCGGGUAGUCCUGGCCGUAAACGAUGUGGACUUGGUGUUGGGAUGGCUUCGAGCUGCCCCAGUGCCGAAGGGAAGCUGUUAAGUCCACCGCCUGGAAG